Molecule: ribosomal RNA, 291 nt
Filed under: uncultured fungus
Lineage: Eukaryota; Fungi
Description: partial large subunit ribosomal RNA
Source: RNAcentral
CAGUCAUGCCGGAGAGAAUCAACUCUGGGGAAGGGGGAUACUCUUGAACCUAACCUCGAAGCGCACUACUUCGCUUGGCAGGUUAGCGUCGAUUUUGACGUUCUAAGAUGAUUGGGGGAAGGUAGCUCUUUCGGGGAGUGUUAUAGCCCUUAAUUAAUGUGAUAUUUGGGAUCGAGGAUUGCAACGGAUACCUUUUUAGGCUAGCCGCCUAGCCUCUGAUUCGAUGUCGGAUUAUAGACAGCACGCUGACUAUGAUCUGAUUAUUGGUCGAAAGGUUAGAGUGAGCAUAAA